CCUACGGUGGGGCAGCAGUGAGGAAUAUUGGUCAAUGGGCGCGAGCCUGAACCAGCCAAGUAGCGUGAAGGAUGACUGCCCUACGGGUUGUAAACUUCUUUUAUAAAGGAAUAAAGUGAGGCACGUGUGCCUUUUUGUAUGUACUUUAUGAAUAAGGAUCGGCUAACUUCGUGCCAGCAGCCGCGGUAAUACGGAAGAUCCGAGCGUUAUCCGGAUUUAUUGGGUUUAAAGGGAGCGUAGAUGGGUUGUUAAGUCAGUUGUGAAAGUUUGGGGCUCAAACGUAAAAUUGCAAUUGAUAAUGGCAGUCUUGAGUACAGGUGAGGUAGGCGGAAUUCGUGGUGUAGCGGUGAAAUGCUUAGAUAUCACGAAGAACUCCGAUUGCGAAGGCAGCUUACUAAACUGCCACUGACAUUGAUGCUCGAAAGUGUGGGUAUCAAACAGGAUUAGAUACCCCAGUAGUC
RNAcentral lists this ribosomal RNA (461 nucleotides) under uncultured bacterium. RNAcentral describes it as "partial 16S ribosomal RNA". It matches the Rfam family "Bacterial small subunit ribosomal RNA", at positions 338 to 795 of the family's 1533-position model. The record is from RNAcentral.